This 580-nucleotide ribosomal RNA is filed under the name Yersinia ruckeri. RNAcentral's name for it is "bacterial SSU rRNA". It matches the Rfam family "Bacterial small subunit ribosomal RNA", at positions 65 to 634 of the family's 1533-position model. Lineage: Bacteria; Pseudomonadati; Pseudomonadota; Gammaproteobacteria; Enterobacterales; Yersiniaceae. The record is from RNAcentral.
AGCGGCAGCGGAAAGUAGCUUGCUACUUUGCCGGCGAGCGGCGGACGGGUGAGUAAUGUCUGGGGAUCUGCCUGAUGGAGGGGGAUAACUACUGGAAACGGUAGCUAAUACCGCAUAACCUCGCAAGAGCAAAGUGGGGGACCUUCGGGCCUCACGCCAUCGGAUGAACCCAGAUGGGAUUAGCUAGUAGGUGGGGUAAUGGCUCACCUAGGCGACGAUCCCUAGCUGGUCUGAGAGGAUGACCAGCCACACUGGAACUGAGACACGGUCCAGACUCCUACGGGAGGCAGCAGUGGGGAAUAUUGCACAAUGGGCGCAAGCCUGAUGCAGCCAUGCCGCGUGUGUGAAGAAGGCCUUCGGGUUGUAAAGCACUUUCAGCGAGGAGGAAGGGUUAAGUGUUAAUAGCACUGAACAUUGACGUUACUCGCAGAAGAAGCACCGGCUAACUCCGUGCCAGCAGCCGCGGUAAUACGGAGGGUGCAAGCGUUAAUCGGAAUUACUGGGCGUAAAGCGCACGCAGGCGGUUUGUUAAGUCAGAUGUGAAAUCCCCGAGCUUAACUUGGGAACUGCAUUUGAAACU